Cydia fagiglandana is the source of this 1920-nucleotide long non-coding RNA. RefSeq lists it as uncharacterized. Lineage: Eukaryota; Metazoa; Arthropoda; Insecta; Lepidoptera; Tortricidae. The transcript has 3 exons. The record is from RefSeq and is a predicted model, not a curated record.
GGUUAUGAGCUAUAUCUGGCCAGUCUUUUAAAAAGGAGUCCAAGUUAUCCCGCCAUCGCCGACGAGGUCUGCCGGAUCCCCGGUUUGACUCGUGGGGCACCCACUCUGUGGUUAACUUGGCCCACAAGUCGUUCGGCAUGCGGCAGACAUGACCAGCCCAAUCCCACUUUAGCUUGGCCGCUUUUCGAGCUACAUCUAUUAUCUGAGUUUUAGAGCGCAGCGUGGUGUUCCGGAUGCGAUCCCUUAGUUUCACACCUAAUAUGCUGCGCUCCAUAGCUCUCUGGCAAACCCCGAGUUUGGACUUCUGAGCUUCCCUCAAAGACCAAGUCUGAGCACCGUAAGUGAGGAUUGGAAGUAUGCACAUGUCCAUGAGCCUACGUUUGAGUGACAGAGGUAGGUCUCCUUUCAUGAGAUGUUUCAUGGACCAAUAGCUCUUCCAGGCGUUCUCGGUCCGUCUAUCGACCUCUUUUUCUUGUCGCGCCUGUAAAGAGACUAUUUGGCCCAAAUAAAGGUAUUCAUGGACAUAUGCAAUGUGUUCUCCGUUUACCUCAAUCUUACGUUUUGUGCUGUUGGACAUGACUUUGGUCUUUGACAUAUUCAUCUUCAGUCCAACCUCGAGGCUUGCGUUGCUAAGAUCUUCUAGCAUAAGAUGUAGCUCGGAUGCCGUUGAGGAAAAAAGGACUAUAUCAUCGGCGAAGUUAUUAAAUACUAAACACUAUAUUAUAAUAUGUAUGUAUAUGAUCCCUAAUCAGUGCAUCUUUGGUGAACUCUUUUAAAAACACUCCAACAUUUUAUAAAAUGACAAAACACAAGUGCAGGACACUGAUGUGCAUUUAUCCAUCAGUAUCAGCUAUAAGCUGCCUGUGCAUUCAAUAAUAAUAAGCCCGGAGACUGUGGCGAGCUGGUGGGGACUGGGGAGUAACGAACGACCCCACGGAUUUAAAAUGCAUAUAAGGUGCAUGACGUCACAAAAUUAGAUACAGAUUCUGCCCUGCUUAUCGCAUGUGCAGUACUUGCACGAAAAACAUCGUUUAAAUAAAGAACUUAUUCAAAGAGGACAAGAUAAACAAUUGCAUGUUUUUUCAACUGCGAUUACUACAUGUGUUGUUAGCACGGCAGGAUUUAUAUGGGCAGUUUUUGUCACUCAAUGACAUUGAGACCUCGUUAUAUUUGCAUGAUCUGAUUGGCAACCGUUGGGUACCGCUGGGUUUUGGCCAUUGAGAAUCAAGGUGAGGCUUCCCUAUCAGGCUAGAUGUAGCUAUGGUGUUCGGUCGGGUCUGGCAUCAAGAUCUGCUCGAGGGACUAUGCUUUUUGUCCGGUAGGCGCAUAUGAGCCGUAGUAGACGGAAGCUGCGUGUGGCUGUGGAUAUUACAGCUGGUGUUUCACUAGGUUUUGUGCUAUCCCCAAUGCUGCUAUUGGUGCAUACCAAUGAUAAUCAUUGCUAUUACCUAUUACGCAUAUGUAAGUGAAUAUGUUUACUUGGGACAAAUAAUCUCUUUUGAGAAUAUGAUGUCUAUAGUUCGUUUUUUUUAGCAUUAGAAAGAACUCCGCAGAAGUAAGCGUGCAGUUUUUAUCAGGCUCGUUAAUUGUUAAUAAUUAUUGAAUUAUCUAAUGUAGCAUGGUCAAUACAUAUAAUUUACUUCAAAUUGGUACUGCUAAAAAUGCCAGAUUUAGAACCACAAGCGAACUUCUGCGAAGUUCUUUCUAAUGCUAAAAAAAACGGACUUGAUGUCCAAGGAAAUAAAUAAAAGAAUAGCCAGCGGGUGGAAAAAGUACUGGUCACUUAAAGAAAUUAUGAAGAGCAAAGAUUUAAGUAUCAACAUCAAAAAGAAAACAUUCAACACCUGCGUUCUACCUUGCCUAACGUGUGGCUGUGAGACCUGGGCUCUUACCGAAAACCAUCGCGAGACACUUGCAAGG